This 857-nucleotide ribosomal RNA is filed under the name uncultured bacterium. RNAcentral's name for it is "partial 16S ribosomal RNA". The record is from RNAcentral.
GUCAAUUCAUUUGAGUUUUAACCUUGCGGUCGUACUCCCCAGGCGGUGUGUUUAUCGCUUUCGCUGCGACACUGAAAAUAAAUUUCCAACGUCUAACACACAUCGUUUACGGCAUGGACUACGAGGGUAUCUAAUCCUCUUCGCUACCCAUGCUUUCGUUCCUCAGUGUCAGUAAUGAUCCAGAAAGCUGCCUUCGCAAUUGGUAUUCUUUCUAAUAUCUACGAAUUCCACCUCUACACUUGGAAUUCCACUUACCUCUCUCGAACUCAAGACUAGCAGUAUUAAAGGCAGUUCCAGGGUUGAGCCCUGGGAUUUCACCUCUAACUUACUAAUCCGCCUACGUGCGCUUUACGCCCAGUAAUUCCGAACAACGCUAACCCCCUCCGUAUUACCGCGGCUGCUGGCACGGAGUUAGCCGGGGUUUCUUUACCAGAUACUGUCAUUAUCAUCUCUGGCGAAAGUGCUUUACGACCCUAAGGCCUUCAUCACACACGCGGCAUGGCUAGAUCAGGGUUUCCCCCAUUGUCUAAGAUUCCCUACUGCUGCCUCCCGUAGGAGUCUGGGCCGUGUCUCAGUCCCAGUGUGGCUGAUCAUCCUCUCAAACCAGCUAUAGAUCGUAGGCUUGGUAGGCCAUUACCCCACCAACUACCUAAUCUAACGCGGGCUAAUCCUUCUCCGAUAAAUCUUUCCCCCGAAGGGCGUAUAAGGUAUUACUCUCCGUUUCCAGAGGCUACUCCUUAGAGAAGGGCAUAUUCCCACGCGUUACUCACCCGUCCGCCGCUCAUCCCGAAGGAUGCGCUCGACUUGCAUGUAUUAGGCCUGCCGCCAGCGUUCGUUCUGAGCCAGGAUCAAACUCU